UACGGAGGGAGCUAGCGUUGUUCGGAAUUACUGGGCGUAAAGCGCACGUAGGCGGCUUUGUAAGUUAGAGGUGAAGGCCUGGGGCUCAACUCCAGAACUGCCUUUAAAACUGCAUCGCUUGAAUCCAGGAGAGGUGAGUGGAAUUCCGAGUGUAGAGGUGAAAUUCGUAGAUAUUCGGAAGAACACCAGUGGCGAAGGCGGCUCACUGGACUGGUAUUGACGCUGAGGUGCGAAAGCGUGGGGAGCAAACAGG
Molecule: ribosomal RNA, 253 nt
Filed under: uncultured bacterium
Lineage: Bacteria
Description: partial 16S ribosomal RNA
Rfam family: Bacterial small subunit ribosomal RNA
Source: RNAcentral